AUUGAACGCUGGCGGCAUGCUUUACACAUGCGAGUCGAACGGCAGCGCGGGCUUCGGCCUGGCGGCGAGUGGCGAACGGGUGAGUAAUGCAUCGGAACGUGCCCAGUAGUGGGGGAUAGCGCGGCGAAAGCCGGAUUAAUACCGCAAACGACCUGAGGGUGUAAGCGGGGGACCGAAAGGCCUCGCGCUAUUGGAGCGGCCGAUGUCGGAUUAGCUAGUUGGUGGGGUAAAGGCGUACCAAGGCGACGAUCCGUAGCUGGUCUGAGAGGACGACCAGCCACACUGGGACUGAGACACGGCCCAGACUCCUACGGGAGGCAGCAGUGGGGAAUUUUGGACAAUGGGGGCAACCCUGAUCCAGCCAUGCCGCGUGCGGGAAGAAGGCCUUCGGGUUGUAAACCGCUUUUGUUCGGGAAGAAAACCUCUGGGCUAAUACCCCGGGGGGAUGACGGUACCGGAAGAAUAAGCACCGGCUAACUACGUG
This 484-nucleotide ribosomal RNA is filed under the name uncultured bacterium. Its description in RNAcentral is "partial 16S ribosomal RNA". It matches the Rfam family "Bacterial small subunit ribosomal RNA", at positions 28 to 507 of the family's 1533-position model. The record is from RNAcentral.